RNAcentral lists this unclassified non-coding RNA (345 nucleotides) under soil metagenome. RNAcentral describes it as "partial contains 5.8S ribosomal RNA, internal transcribed spacer 2, and large subunit ribosomal RNA". The stretch from base 1 to 121 matches the Rfam family "5.8S ribosomal RNA", at positions 35 to 154 of the family's 154-position model. The record is from RNAcentral.
GAUGAAGAACGUAGCGAAAUGCGAUAAGUAAUGCGAAUUGCAGAAUUUCCGUGAGUCAUCGAAUCUUUGAACGCACAUUGCGCCCACUGGUAUUCCGGUGGGCAUGCCUGUUCGAGCGUCAUUAUCCUCCCUCAAACCCCGGGUUUGGUGUUGGACCCAAGUUGUGUGAACAACUGGUCUCAAAGACAAUGACGGCGUCCGUGGGACCCUCGGUGCAACGAGCUUUUAGGAGCACGCAUCGAGUUGCAAGGACCUUCCGGGCCAGUCUCCUUUACCAUUUUACAAGGUUGACCUCGGAUCAGGUAGGAAUACCCGCUGAACUUAAGCAUAUCAAUAAGCGGAGGA